Molecule: transfer RNA, 72 nt
Filed under: Bos taurus (domestic cattle)
Lineage: Eukaryota; Metazoa; Chordata; Mammalia; Artiodactyla; Bovidae
Also listed under: 2 other names
Rfam family: tRNA
About the family: Transfer RNA (tRNA) molecules are approximately 80 nucleotides in length. Their secondary structure includes four short double-helical elements and three loops (D, anti-codon, and T loops). Further hydrogen bonds mediate the characteristic L-shaped molecular structure. tRNAs have two regions of fundamental functional importance: the anti-codon, which is responsible for specific mRNA codon recognition, and the 3' end, to which the tRNAs corresponding amino acid is attached (by aminoacyl-tRNA synthetases). tRNAs cope with the degeneracy of the genetic code in two manners: having more than one tRNA (with a specific anti-codon) for a particular amino acid; and 'wobble' base-pairing, i.e. permitting non-standard base-pairing at the 3rd anti-codon position.
Source: Rfam by way of RNAcentral
UCCCUGGUGGUUCAGUGAUUAAGAAUCUGCCUGCCAGUGCAGAGGACACAGGUUCAAUCCCUGUUCUGGGAA